AACGAACGCUGGCGGCAGGCCUAACACAUGCAAGUCGAGCGGGCGUAGCAAUACGUCAGCGGCGGACGGGUGAGUAACACGUGGGAAUAUGCCUUUCGGUUUGGAACAACUCGGGGAAACCCGUGCUAAUUCCGGAUACGCCCUUAGGGGGAAAGGAUUUAUCGCCGAAAGAUUAGCCCGCGUCCGAUUAGCUAGUUGGUGAGGUAACGGCCCACCAA
RNAcentral lists this ribosomal RNA (218 nucleotides) under uncultured bacterium. Its description in RNAcentral is "partial 16S ribosomal RNA". It matches the Rfam family "Bacterial small subunit ribosomal RNA", at positions 29 to 271 of the family's 1533-position model. The record is from RNAcentral.